Long non-coding RNA from Biomphalaria glabrata, 366 nucleotides. RefSeq lists it as uncharacterized. The record is from RefSeq and is a predicted model, not a curated record. The transcript is spliced from 2 exons. NCBI's taxonomy places the organism in Eukaryota, Metazoa, Mollusca, Gastropoda, Planorbidae.
UUAAAGACCAACUGAAGAGGUUUUUUUCGAAAUUGAGAUAGCGAUUGAUUUAGAUAGUAGAUAGCAUCAAAGUUAGUUCCUAAAAAUUUGAGAUUUUAGAAAAGCGUAUUUAUAUUAGAAAAAGUAAUUUGAAAGUGUAAAAAAUAACGAGAUUUGAAAAUCAGCUUCAAUGGCCGAAACCGGAAGUGACGUAUUGUAAUGGACUGAGAAAAUAAAACAUAUAUGACAUGUGGCAUACAGACAAGUUUACUAGAUGGAUCUUUCAUCAUUUUGGAAAUACAAUAUUCCCUGUGAAACAAAUCACAGAAACAUUCUACAAUUUUAUUUUAUAUAAUAAAUACCAAUAAAUGUAAAUACAAAAUCACA